RNAcentral lists this transfer RNA (90 nucleotides) under Candidatus Moranbacteria bacterium RIFOXYA12_FULL_35_19. RNAcentral's name for it is "tRNA-Ser". It matches the Rfam family "tRNA". From Rfam's summary of the family: Transfer RNA (tRNA) molecules are approximately 80 nucleotides in length. Their secondary structure includes four short double-helical elements and three loops (D, anti-codon, and T loops). Further hydrogen bonds mediate the characteristic L-shaped molecular structure. tRNAs have two regions of fundamental functional importance: the anti-codon, which is responsible for specific mRNA codon recognition, and the 3' end, to which the tRNAs corresponding amino acid is attached (by aminoacyl-tRNA synthetases). tRNAs cope with the degeneracy of the genetic code in two manners: having more than one tRNA (with a specific anti-codon) for a particular amino acid; and 'wobble' base-pairing, i.e. permitting non-standard base-pairing at the 3rd anti-codon position. Lineage: Bacteria; Candidatus Moraniibacteriota. The record is from RNAcentral. RNAcentral also lists the same sequence under 1 other name.
GGAAAGGUGGCUGAGUGGUCUAAAGCGGCACCGUGCUAAGGUGUUGUCUGGGCAACCGGACCGUGGGUUCAAAUCCCACCCUUUCCGCAA